Molecule: ribosomal RNA, 450 nt
Filed under: uncultured bacterium
Lineage: Bacteria
Description: partial 16S ribosomal RNA
Rfam family: Bacterial small subunit ribosomal RNA
Source: RNAcentral
GUGGGGAAUAUUGGACAAUGGGCGAAAGCCUGAUCCAGCCAUGCCGCGUGUGUGAAGAAGGUCUUCGGAUUGUAAAGCACUUUAAGUUGGGAGGAAGGGUAGUAACCUAAUACGUUGCUACUUUGACGUUACCGACAGAAUAAGCACCGGCUAACUUCGUGCCAGCAGCCGCGGUAAUACGAAGGGUGCAAGCGUUAAUCGGAAUUACUGGGCGUAAAGCGCGCGUAGGUGGUUCAGUAAGUUGGAAGUGAAAUCCCCGGGCUCAACCUGAGAACUACUUUAAAAACUGCUGAGCUAGAGUACGGUAGAGGGUGGUGGAAUUUCCUGUGUAGCGGUGAAAUGCGUAGAUAUAGGAAGGAACACCAGUGGCGAAGGCGACCACCUGGACUGAUACUGACACUGAGGUGCGAAAGCGUGGGGAGCAAACAGGAUUAGAAACCCGAGUAGUCC